UUNUGAACUGGGUGACUAGAGUGUGUCAGAGGGAGGUAGAAUUCCACGUGUAGCAGUGAAAUGCGUAGAGAUGUGGAGGAAUACCGAUGGCGAAGGCAGCCUCCUGGGAUAACACUGACGUUCAUGCUCGAAAGCGUGGGUAGCAAACAGGAUUAGAUACCCUGGUAGUCCACGCCCUAAACGAUGUCAAUUAGCUGUUGGGCAACUUGAUUGCUUAGUAGCGUAGCUAACGCGUGAAAUUGACCGCCUGGGGAGUACGGUCGCAAGAUUAAAACUCAAAGGAAUUGACGGGGACCCGCACAAGCGGUGGAUGAUGUGGAUUAAUUCGAUGCAACGCGAAGAACCUUACCUGGUCUUGACAUGUACGGAAUCCUCCAGAGACGGAGGAGUGCCUUCGGGAGCCGUAACACAGGUGCUGCAUGGCUGUCGUCAGCUCGUGUCGUGAGAUGUUGGGUUAAGUCCCGCAACGAGCGCAACCCUUGUCAUUAGUUGCCAUCAUUUAGUUGGGCACUCUAAUGAGACUGCCGGUGACAAGCCGGAGGAAGGUGGGGAUGACGUCAAGUCCUCAUGGCCCUUAUGACCAGGGCUUCACACGUCAUACAAUGGUCGGUACAGAGGGUAGCCAAGCCGCGAGGUGGAGCCAAUCUCACAAAACCGAUCGUAGACCGGAUUGCACUCUGCAACUCGAGUGCAUGAAGUCGGAAUCGCUAGUAAUCGCAGGUCAGCAUACUGCGGUGAAUACGUUCCCGGGUCUUGUACACACCGCCCGUCACACCAUGGGAGUGGGGGAUACCAGAAGUAGGUAGGGUAACCGCAAGGAGCCCGCUUA
RNAcentral lists this ribosomal RNA (829 nucleotides) under uncultured bacterium. Its description in RNAcentral is "bacterial SSU rRNA". It matches the Rfam family "Bacterial small subunit ribosomal RNA", at positions 626 to 1456 of the family's 1533-position model. The record is from RNAcentral.